CGCGAAUGGCUCAUUACAUCAGUUAUGGUUCCUUAGAUCGUACCCACAUUACUUGGAUAACUGUGGUAAUUCUAGAGCUAAUACAUGCAAAUAGAGUUCCGACCAGAGAUGGAAGGAAUGCUUUUAUUAGAUCAAAACCAAUCGGUGGCGGGCUUGCCUUGCUCACCGUUUGACUUGGUGACUCUGAAUAACUUUGUGCUGAUCGCACGGUCUCGUACCGGCGACGCAUCUUUCAAAUGUCUGCCUUAUCAACUGUCGAUGGUAGUUUCUGCGACUACCAUGGUUGUUACGGGUAACGGGGAAUCAGGGUUCGAUUCCGGAGAGGGAGCCUGAGAAACGGCUACCACAUCCAAGGAAGGCAGCAGGCGCGCAAAUUACCCACUCCCGGCACGGGGAGGUAGUGACGAAAAAUAACGAUACGGGACUCAUCCGAGGCCCCGUAAUCGGAAUGAGUACACUUUAAAUCCUUUCACGAUUAACAAUUGGAGGGCAAGCCUGGUGCCAGCAGCCGCGGUAACUCCAGCUCCAAUAGCGUAUAUUAAAGUUGUUGCGGUUAAAAAGCUCGUAGUUGAAUCUGUGUCCCACACUGUCGGUUCACCGCUCGCGGUGUCCAACUGGCAUGUCUGUGGGACGUCCUGCCGGUGGGCGCAGCCCCUCAAAAGGCGGCCCAACUCAAAAUCCUACCACGGUGCUCUUCACCGAGUGUCGAGG
Molecule: ribosomal RNA, 711 nt
Filed under: Ceratophyllus rusticus
Lineage: Eukaryota; Metazoa; Arthropoda; Insecta; Siphonaptera; Ceratophyllidae
Description: SSU rRNA
Rfam family: Eukaryotic small subunit ribosomal RNA
Source: RNAcentral